GGGGCUAUAGCUCAGCUGGUUAGAGCGCACGCCUGAUAAGCGUGAGGUCGAUGGUUCGAGUCCAUUUAGACCCACCA
RNAcentral lists this transfer RNA (77 nucleotides) under Clostridium botulinum C/D. RNAcentral describes it as "tRNA-Ile". It matches the Rfam family "tRNA". Rfam says of the family: Transfer RNA (tRNA) molecules are approximately 80 nucleotides in length. Their secondary structure includes four short double-helical elements and three loops (D, anti-codon, and T loops). Further hydrogen bonds mediate the characteristic L-shaped molecular structure. tRNAs have two regions of fundamental functional importance: the anti-codon, which is responsible for specific mRNA codon recognition, and the 3' end, to which the tRNAs corresponding amino acid is attached (by aminoacyl-tRNA synthetases). tRNAs cope with the degeneracy of the genetic code in two manners: having more than one tRNA (with a specific anti-codon) for a particular amino acid; and 'wobble' base-pairing, i.e. permitting non-standard base-pairing at the 3rd anti-codon position. Lineage: Bacteria; Bacillati; Bacillota; Clostridia; Eubacteriales; Clostridiaceae. The record is from RNAcentral.